Molecule: transfer-messenger RNA, 397 nt
Filed under: Paludibacter sp. 47-17
Lineage: Bacteria; Pseudomonadati; Bacteroidota; Bacteroidia; Bacteroidales; Paludibacteraceae
Also listed under: 2 other names
Rfam family: transfer-messenger RNA
About the family: Bacterial tmRNA, also known as 10Sa RNA or SsrA, is named for its dual tRNA and mRNA-like properties. Its role is to liberate the mRNA from a stalled ribosome.
Source: RNAcentral
GGGGCUGUUUGGUUUUGACAGCAGGCAGAAAGGGUAUGUAAGCAUGUCGAGCGGGGUGAAAACGGCUCGUAAAUCUCGGUUCACAAAAGCAUAACUGGCGAAAAUAACUACGCUCUUGCUGCUUAAUCGAAGUAUAGUAGAUAAGCUUUAUCCAGGUACAAGGUACCAGGACGAGACAUCCUCCCGCGGCCGUCGCUCCGAGGCCAACGAACAGAGGGUGCAGCUAAAUCGGGGAUAGUGACGACUGGCCUCGCAGCCGUCAUGAACUAACAGAGGAUAAGGCGUGAGUAGGUGGCUUCGGUCUUGCUCCCGCACGAAAACCCAAGCGAAGAUAAACAUGUAGAAAGCGUAUUAUUUCCUUGUUUGGACGAGGGUUCGACUCCCUCCAGCUCCACAU